This 1431-nucleotide ribosomal RNA is filed under the name metagenome. RNAcentral's name for it is "bacterial SSU rRNA". It matches the Rfam family "Archaeal small subunit ribosomal RNA". The record is from RNAcentral.
UCCCGUUGAUUCUGCGGGAGAUUGCUGCUAUUGGGAUUCCAAUUAGCCAUGCAAGUCUGGGUUCUUCGGAAACCGGCAAACUGCUCAGUAACACGUCGAUAAUCUGUCCUAUGGUCUGGAAUAGCCUCGAGAAAUUGAGGGUAAAACUGGAUAGGAGAUUAAUACUGGAAUGUAUUUUCUCUGAAACUCGAGCCAUAGGGUGAGUCGGCGGCGGAUUAGACUGUUGGUGUGGUAAUGGCGCACCAAAUCUAAGAUCUGUAGGGGGAAUGAGAGUUCUAGCCCCGAGAAGGGCACUGAGACAAGGGCCCUAGCCCCAAGGGGUGCAGCAGGCAGGAAACCUUUACAAUGCGCGCAAGCGUGAUAAGGGAAUCCCAAGUGCUUGUACUUAGUACAAGCUUUUGCUAAGUGUAAAUAGCUUGGCGAAUAAGUGGUGGGAAAGACUGGUGCCAGCCGCCGCGGUAACACCAGCGCCACAAGUGGUGAUCGUUUUUAUUGGGUCUAAAGCGUCCGUAGCAGGUGAUGCAAAUCUUUUGUGAAAUUGUUGGGCUUAACUCAACAACGUGCAAGAAACACUACAUCACUAGAGACCGGGAGGAGACAGAAGUAUGCUGUGGGGAGCGGUAAAAUGUUAUAAUCCACAGUAGACUACCUAUGGCGAAGGCAUCUGUCUAGAACGGUUCUGACUGUCAGGGACGAAAGCUGGGGGAGCAAACUGGAUUAGAUACCCAAGUAGUCCUAGCUGUAAACGCUGCGAGCCAUGUAUUGCAUAUUCUUUGUGGAUGUGCAGUGCUGUAACGAAGGUGUUAAGCUCGCCACCUGGGAAGUACGGUCGCAAGGCUGAAACUUAAAGAAAUUGGCGGGGGAGCACUACAAGGGGUGCGACGUGCGGUUCAAUCUAACUCCACACAGAGAAUCUCACCAGCAGCGACGGCAGGUUGAAGGUCAGAUUAAAGGUUUUACCUGACGAGCCGAGAGGUGGUGCAUGGCCGACGUCAGCUCGUGCCGUAAGGUGUCCUCUUAAGUGAGGUAACGAGCGAGAUCUAUAUCUACAAUUGCUAACAGGUUCUACGGAACGACUGAGAACAUUGUAGGGACUGCCUUGGAAACAAGGAGGAAGGUGUAGGCAACGUUAGGUCUGUAUGCCCCGAAUCUGCUGGGCUACACGCGCGUAACAAUGGCAAGAACAAUGGGAUGCAACAUCGAAAGAUGAAGCCAAUCCUCGAAAUCUUGUCUUAGUUCGGAUUGAGGGCUGUAACUCGCCCUCAUGACGAUGGAAUCCCUAGUAAUCGGACGUCAUCUAGCGUCCGGUGAAUGUGUCAAUGCUCCUUGCACACACUGCCCGUCAAGCCACUCGAGCAGGGUCUGGGUGAGGUUUAUUUUUAGAUAUUUCAAACCUAGGCUCAGUGAGAAGGGCUAAGUCGUCACAAGGUA